This 950-nucleotide long non-coding RNA is filed under the name Marmota monax (woodchuck). Lineage: Eukaryota; Metazoa; Chordata; Mammalia; Rodentia; Sciuridae. The record is from RNAcentral.
UUUGGAUGUACCACUGUCUGUUCACUUACUGAAGGGAUUUUUGGUUGCUUUCAAGCACUGGCAAUAAUGAACGAGGUUGCUAUAAACAUCGGUGUGCACAAAGUGUACACAAAAUUGUACUUAAAUUUUUAACUCCUCGGAGUGGAACAGGGAGUGAUUACUGGAUCGCAUAAGAGGAUGUUUACUUCUGCAAGAAACUGCCAAGGUGUCUUCCAAAGAAAUUUCCAGGCUGCCUCAUUUUGCAGCAGUGAAUGGGAGUUCCUCUUGAUCACCAUGUUCUGGAUUUUGGCCCUUCUAAUAGGUAUGUAUAGUAUCUCAUUUUUAAAAUUUGCAUUUCCCAGAUGACACUAUGUGGGGCAUCUUUCCAUAUAUAUAUAUAUAUUUGGAGAGGGGGGGUCUGCCCAGACCUUUGGCCUAUUUUUAAAUCAGAUUGCUUAUUUAUUUAUUUAUUUUUAUUGUGAAGGUUCAAGAGCCCUUGGUGUAUUUUGGAUCCCAGUCCCGUUAGGUUGGUUUGAGGUGGCUAAGGAACAAAGCACCAGGUAACCCGCAACACCUGUCAAUCAACAGAGUCUCCUGAUCAAUCCUGGAAGGACAAAGAUCUCAGCAAGAUCCCCCAACCAACCCCAGGAGGACAAGGACCUCUAAAAUACUCCCUUUGCUGUCCCAAACCUUCCCUUUCUGUCCUAGGCCCAAUAAAAUUCCAAUCCGGCUGAGCCUGGGUGCGACUCUCCUGGACCCGCUCUAUCGGUCUGGAGGGUCUCGCCUGGGAAUUAAUCUCAAUGAAGCCUUGUUCCGCAGCUGUUAAUCUGCCUCCUUUUGGUCACCGGUGCCUGACCUUACAAGUCCUUUAUCAUAUUUGUCUUUUGCUGGUAUUUUCUCCCGGUCUGUGACUUUUCUUCUCAUUUUCUUGAGAAAAAUAAAUUUUGAAUGCAAUGUCUUUAAAGAUCAAA